GUCUAGAGCCUUCCGCCGCAGCAACAGUCUAUAGCCACUUCUUUAAGCUGCGCGUGCUUCUUACACACGAAAACCAUUAAGCAUCUGUUGUUUUUUUCUUCCCUUUUUUUUUUUUUUUCAAAAUGAGGGAAUGGGCAUUUUCUGUGUUGGGAUGGGACUUGUAGCUUUGACUGCUCCUUCCGGGCAUCUCAGGGACUUCGCUGCUCUUUUUCCUAGGAACGCCCCAGGUUUCCUGUGGGAAGACUCUCGGGGCCGCGGAUUCCUCGGGCCGCCCGCCAGCCGGCGCCCGCCAGUGCCUCCGCGGUCCACGCGAGCCUGCUCGACAUGAGGCGGAGCGUGGCCGAGCUCAGGCUCCAGCUGCGGCAGAUGCGACAGCUCCAGGUACGGCCCGGCGUUCCCGUGGGCGGUGUCCUCUGCCACGGUCUCCUCCCCACCCGCCGCCUCCCGCUCCCCGGCCGCACAGCAUCUUGCCGGUGGCCUUCUCUGCAGCAUCCUUUGGUACGGAUGACUGAGGGCCAGGGUGCAGGCGCGUGCCACCCUGGGCUCCUCCUCACACACAUCAUCUUGGUCUAGAGCCUUCCGCCGCAGCAACAGUCUAUAGCCACUUCUUUAAGCUGCGCGUGCUUCUUACACACGAAAACCAUUAAGCAUCUGUUGUUUUUUUCUUCCCUUUUUUUUUUUUUUUCAAAAUGAGGGAAUGGGCAUUUUCUGUGUUGGGAUGGGACUUGUAGCUUUGACUGCUCCUUCCGGGCAUCUCAGGGACUUCGCUGCUCUUUUUCCUAGGAACGCCCCAGGUUUCCUGUGGGAAGACUCUCGGGGCCGCGGAUUCCUCGGGCCGCCCGCCAGCCGGCGCCCGCCAGUGCCUCCGCGGUCCACGCGAGCCUGCUCGACAUGAGGCGGAGCGUGGCCGAGCUCAGGCUCCAGCUGCGGCAGAUGCGACAGCUCCAGCUGCAGAACCAGGAGCUGCUGAAGGCAAUGAUGAGGAAAGCUGAGCAGGAAAUCAGCAGCAAGGUGAUCGAGACGAUGAAGAGGCUGGAGGACCCUGUGCAGCGCCAGCGGUCCUGGUGGAGCAGGACAGGCAGAAGUACCUGCACGAAGAGGAGAAGAUCGUCCGCAAGCUGUGUGACCUGGAAGACUUCGUUGACGAUCUAA
Molecule: long non-coding RNA, 1152 nt
Filed under: Bos grunniens (domestic yak)
Lineage: Eukaryota; Metazoa; Chordata; Mammalia; Artiodactyla; Bovidae
Description: lncRNA (ENSBGRG00000024706.1)
Source: RNAcentral